UCAAGGAGAACAUCUCAUCUAAUAUUAAACCUAAUGGUGGCACCUUGUCUACCAGGGACAGUGUGAGGACAUUUAUUCAACAACACUUAAUGUCUGCAUAACACUUGGCACUCUAUAACUCCAGGGAUAAAGAAUUCAGUACAAAGCAAGUGAAGCCCUCAAGGGGUUCACAGCCCAGCAGGAACGAAUUUAGAAAGAACAACAGAAAAUAAGAAGAGCCAUAUGGUAUCUAAUCGCUCAGCCUCCUCAACUGGAUUGGAAGCAUUGGAGGUCAGGAAGGUGUGCACCUUACACAUCUUUUAUCUCCAAGGUUUAGAAUCAUGCCUCACACAUUGGAGGUGCUGAAUAAAUGUUUGAUGAUGAUGGCAGCUUGCUUUGCAAUUAAAAAAAAAAAAUGGAGUUUCUUAAGACAAGCAUAUCUAUUUUUUCAGUCAGUGUAAGGAAAGGUACCUUCUCCUAAAGGAAUUGGGCAAUGAACAUUGUGAUUUACUAUGUGUAAUCAGAUACAAGCUCAACUGCUGUAACAAAGAUUCUCAAAAUGCCUUAAGAUAAGACAUUAUUUUGCUCUCUUGUAGCACUUUUGGAGGUUUGUGGUCCUGAUGUGUGUUGUCAUCUGGGAACUCAGGCU
This is a long non-coding RNA of Rhinopithecus roxellana (golden snub-nosed monkey), 628 nucleotides long. RefSeq lists it as uncharacterized. NCBI's taxonomy places the organism in Eukaryota, Metazoa, Chordata, Mammalia, Primates, Cercopithecidae. The transcript has 3 exons. The record is from RefSeq and is a predicted model, not a curated record.